GUGCCAGCAGCCGCGGUAAUACAGAGGGUGCAAGCGUUAAUCGGAAUUACUGGGCGUAAAGCGCGCGUAGGUGGUUAGUUAAGUUGGAUGUGAAAUCCCCGGGCUCAACCUGGGAACUGCAUUCAAAACUGACUGACUAGAGUAUGGUAGAGGGUGGUGGAAUUUCCUGUGUAGCGGUGAAAUGCGUAGAUAUAGGAAGGAACACCAGUGGCGAAGGCGACCACCUGGACUGAUACUGACACUGAGGUGCGAAAGCGUGGGGAGCAAACAGGAUUAGA
RNAcentral lists this ribosomal RNA (278 nucleotides) under Escherichia coli. RNAcentral describes it as "partial 16S ribosomal RNA". It matches the Rfam family "Bacterial small subunit ribosomal RNA", at positions 505 to 782 of the family's 1533-position model. The record is from RNAcentral. Lineage: Bacteria; Pseudomonadati; Pseudomonadota; Gammaproteobacteria; Enterobacterales; Enterobacteriaceae.